UUUCCGUAGGUGAACCUGCGGAAGGAUCAUUAUUGUAUAACCGAGGGGCGAGGUCUAUCGCUCACCCGAAAGGUCUUUCACGCCCGAGUGCCCUCAAACACAUCCAUCCCACACCAAUGUGCACCACUGCGUAGUAAUCCCGUUGGCGUGCUAGGAGGUAGGCAAACGUUUUCACAAAAAAUUUGUAUGCACUGUAGUCUGUAAUUAUCGUAGUAGCGAUCACGAAAACAAGUCAACUCUCAACAACGGAUCUGUAGGCUCUCGCAUCGAGGAAGAACG
Molecule: unclassified non-coding RNA, 279 nt
Filed under: plant metagenome
Description: partial contains small subunit ribosomal RNA, internal transcribed spacer 1, and 5.8S ribosomal RNA
Source: RNAcentral